Molecule: long non-coding RNA, 519 nt
Organism: Nanorana parkeri
Lineage: Eukaryota; Metazoa; Chordata; Amphibia; Anura; Dicroglossidae
Exons: 3
Source: RefSeq, a predicted model, not a curated record
AGGAGAUAGUGACGGAGUCAUGGAGCUCCGGAGCUAGUGAGAGGCUGAGGAGAGCGAGGCGCAGGAUGGGAGGAGGGAGAUCCGGGUACCUGCAGGCAGGUCAGCACACUCUUCCCAUUCACAUGUCAUAAUGCUGGGACUUGACGUUCAGGAGCAGAGCCAGCUACAUCCACUGGAGUCCUCCUUAAGCAAUACUGUGAACCACAAGUGGCCUAUACUACAUGUGCACUUCAUAGAGGAGCCAAUAUCAAACUGGGAUAUCAAGGAACAGGGAGAUUUGCCGACUGAAUAUCAGAAGCACCUCCUGCCACAAACCGAUACUGUCAACAUUCCUGAAUUUAUUCAGGUGCCAGAGCUAACAUCUUCCACGGGGAGCCAGGACUCUAGAGGACACUAUAGUUUAAACUCGGCUGUAAUGUUGGGUACUGUAGACAGGGUUGCCCCAAUGGAUAUUUCAAGUCCUCAGAAGAUGGAUCUCCAGGAAUCGGCUGAAUCUUCUGCUAUUGAGGAGAGAGUGGA